This is a long non-coding RNA of Pogoniulus pusillus (Red-fronted tinkerbird), 1735 nucleotides long. RefSeq lists it as uncharacterized. NCBI's taxonomy places the organism in Eukaryota, Metazoa, Chordata, Aves, Piciformes, Lybiidae. The record is from RefSeq and is a predicted model, not a curated record. The transcript has 2 exons.
GUCGAAGGUGAAGCGGCCGUGGUAAUGGCCCAAGCCGCUCUGCCCUGCGGAGGAUCGUACAUGAGGGUCCGAGCACCGAGAGCGGAAUCGGCAGGAUGUGACCCAAGCCAGAGGAGAUGCUGCUGCCAGCCCAGCUCCGCACCUGCUUGCAGGAGGAGAAGACAUAGAUGGCCAGCGGCCGCUCCCGGGCAUUGAUGAAGGCGAUGGCAUCAUCCACGCUCUUCACUGUGAGGAUGGGCAGGAUGGGCCCGAAGAUCUCCUCCUUCAUCACAGGGUCAUCCUGCUGCACAUCCACCAGCACUGUGGGGGCUGCCAAGAGAGGGAAGAGCCACGCCUGGAGUGUCUGGGACCCCUUCCCCUCCGAAGCCUGCCCUUCCACCUUGCCCCCAGCCCUCCAGGCCGUGUCCUCACCGAUGUAGCGUGUCCCUGCGUCCGUCUGUCCUCCCAUGGCCACGCGCCCGCUGCUGAGCAGGGCCCUCACCCGCUGGAACUGCCCGUCCCCGAUGAUGCGGGCAAAACUGGAGGACUCUUGAGGGUUGGGGCCGUAAAACUCGGCGAUGGCCUCGCGCAGGGCGGGCAGGAGCUGCUCCCUCGUCUCCAGGCUGCAGAGGACGUAGUCGGGCGCGACGCAGGUCUGGCCGGCGUUGAAGAAGCGGCCCCAGGCCACCCUGCGCGCCACGUUCCGCACGUCGCAGCUGUCGGACACGUAGCAGGGGUUCUUGCCCCCCAGCUCCAGCGUCACCGGCGUCAGGUGCUUGGCCGCGGCUGUCAUCACCACCCUGCCCACCGAGGGGCUGCCUGAGGAGCAGCAAAAGAGCAUCGGCAUGGGGAAGGUCUCAGCAGCUGUGGUACGGCUCUGGGAAGUGGCUCUCUGAGGAGCCAGGGCUGCAUCUGGCAUCAAGUCAAAGAAUAACCCAGCACUGCCAGAGCAGCAUCAAACCAUGGCUCUCAGCACCACAGCUCCAUGGCUUUGAAAUCACUCGGGGGAUGGGGACUCCCCCACUGCCCUGGGCAGCCUGAGCCAAGCACUGACAAACCUCAAGGGCAAGAAAUUGUUCCUCGUUUCCAACCCAAACAUCCCCUGGGGCAACUUGAAGUCAUUUCCUCUUGUCCUGUCACUUGUCCCUUGCAAGAAGAGACCAACCCUUACCAGGCCCCCACCAACUGAGGGGGGUCCCUGAGGAGUGGUUCAGACCUCCCAGCAGAUAGGGAGCCCUAUGCCUUAGGGAUGGGAUUAGGGUGUCCCUGUGGGACCCUACCAGUGUAGAAGAUGUAGUCAAAUUUGUUCUCCAGCAGUCUGGUGGUCCCCUCCACACCGGCAGUCACCACGGCAAAGCAGUCCUGUGACAUGGUGAGGAAUGAAGAGUGGAGAGGGCAGAUGAGUGGACGUGACUUGGCCAGGCAGGUUUGGGACACACAGUGACAAGUAUCCCUGCAGAGGGAGGUGGCCUGCAGCAUAAAGGUCUUUUACCUUGUCCAGGUACUUUGGCAGUGUCUCAGCCAUUAACCUCUCCGCGUUCUUGCUGACUUCAGAGGGUUUCACCACGACGCAGUUACCUGCAGGACAGGAGCUCCCUCCUGGUGAGGACCUCACUCAUGGGGGGCAGGCCUGUUUUCAGCACACCACCACCACAUUCCCACCCCAGGGAAGACAGGACACACCUCACAGUGAGGUUUGGGUAGCCCCCAGUAGGUCAGGGUCACAGCCCAGCCUCACCAGCAGCAAUGGCCCCAA